RNAcentral lists this ribosomal RNA (1023 nucleotides) under Triticum aestivum (bread wheat). Its description in RNAcentral is "partial small subunit ribosomal RNA". Lineage: Eukaryota; Viridiplantae; Streptophyta; Magnoliopsida; Poales; Poaceae. The record is from RNAcentral.
UAAAGUAGAAAACCAGUGAGCUCAUUCUAUCUUGUACUGCUACGAGAGAAUCAAACCAAGGAGGAGGCGACUUCCUAUAUCCUUAGUGGUCGUCGGGAAGGCAUCAAGACUCCUUCGCGAGUUGGACCUACAACAACCGGCUUCCUCCCCGCCUCGUCCACGGUCAGUCCAUCCGCCGAGUCGCCCACCCUCUACCUCCGACGGCUAGAGUGUGUCGAGGACGCGGGGCGAUGGGAGAGGAGGGGCCGAUUCGUCCUCCUAAAGGUUAACACAUUAUAAGGUAGUAUGAGGAUACGUAACCGGUCUAGACUCCGUCUUUUCUUCUCCUUCUUAGACUUCUAAACCCACUUACCACUACUUCUUGUCCCCUAACUUCUUCUUUGACAAUAAUAACACUAACACGUAUCCUUCGUCUACGAUAGUUCUAGUACAGUUUCCGCUACGAGUAAGGGCAAGAAUCACUCUACCUAAAUGAGCUACGUUCCAUACUCGUAACGUCUGAGACCGCUCGACAACUUCCAGCUGCUCCUCCCGCGACGGUGGUGGCAAUAGUCCGACCAGGUGUAGGUGCGCGACGAGCCGCAGUGGUCCAGUGGCCGUGUUGAGGAGUGCGGGUCCAGCAAGUUGUAAAAGAAGGCGAAAACCACGCAGUGUAAAUCAGGAAGAAAGGGUAAAAUGGCACAAACGUACCAUUCUACAAACCAACCUAAACUUCACUAAAGUUAAGACAACCGGAGGAAUCCUAACGAACCCUUACACUCCGAAUUUUCAAAGUUGGGACACUUUACACGAAGAGCCCACACCUCUGAUUAAUUGCCAAGACAAUUAUGACUAUACAGGAACAUGUAAUAUGCUCAUAACGUAGUGAACAUGAAUAUGGAACAGUUCGCUAGACUGUCUGGUUCUUCCUGUUCCUUGCUCCCUGGUUGGAUGUCGAAACGCUCGACGGGUCAACACUUCGCACCUCUGUUCUUUAGGAGGGAAAGGCGGUGUCGAAACCGACGGUCGGAUGGUCUCGACACU